CGAUGAUGCCCAGCUUGCUGGGUGGAUUAGUGGCGAACGGGUGAGUAACACGUGAGUAACCUGCCCUUGACUUCGGGAUAACUCCGGGAAACCGGGGCUAAUACCGGAUAUGAGCCGUCCUCGCAUGGGGGUGGUUGGAAAGUUUUUCGGUCAGGGAUGGGCUCGCGGCCUAUCAGCUUGUUGGUGGGGUGAUGGCCUACCAAGGCGACGACGGGUAGCCGGCCUGAGAGGGCGACCGGCCACACUGGGACUGAGACACGGCCCAGACUCCUACGGGAGGCAGCAGUGGGGAAUAUUGCACAAUGGGCGAAAGCCUGAUGCAGCGACGCCGCGUGAGGGAUGAAGGCCUUCGGGUUGUAAACCUCUUUCAGCAGGGAAGAAGCGCAAGUGACGGUACCUGCAGAAGAAGCGCCGGCUAACUACGUGCCAGCAGCCGCGGUAAUACGUAGGGCGCAAGCGUUGUCCGGAAUUAUUGGGCGUAAAGAGCUCGUAGGCGGUUUGUCGCGUCUGGUGUGAAAACUCGAGGCUCAACCUCGAGCUUGCAUCGGGUACGGGCAGACUAGAGUGCGGUAGGGGAGACUGGAAUUCCUGGUGUAGCGGUGGAAUGCGCAGAUAUCAGGAGGAACACCGAUGGCGAAGGCAGGUCUCUGGGCCGCAACUGACGCUGA
Molecule: ribosomal RNA, 668 nt
Filed under: Cellulosimicrobium sp.
Lineage: Bacteria; Bacillati; Actinomycetota; Actinomycetes; Micrococcales; Promicromonosporaceae
Description: bacterial SSU rRNA
Rfam family: Bacterial small subunit ribosomal RNA
Source: RNAcentral